Molecule: ribosomal RNA, 1801 nt
Filed under: Clostridioides difficile
Lineage: Bacteria; Bacillati; Bacillota; Clostridia; Peptostreptococcales; Peptostreptococcaceae
Description: partial 23S ribosomal RNA
Rfam family: Bacterial large subunit ribosomal RNA
Source: RNAcentral
GGGACACGUGAAACCCUGUGGGAAGCAGGAGGGACCACCCUCCAAGGCUAAAUACUACCUAGUGACCGAUAGCGUAUAGUACCGUGAGGGAAAGGUGAAAAGAACCCCGGGAGGGGAGUGAAAUAGAACCUGAAACCCUGCACUUACAAGCUGUGGAAGCACAUUUCUUGUGUGACCGCGUACUUUUUGUAGAACGGGCCAACGAGUUACGUUAAGUAGCAAGGUUAAGCACUUAAGGUGCGGAGCCGUAGCGAAAGCGAGUUUUAACUGAGCGUUCAGUUACUUGACGUAGACCCGAAACCGGGCGACCUACCCAUGAGCAGGAUGAAGCGAAAGUAAAAUUUCGUGGAGGUCCGAACCCACGAGCGUUGAAAAGCUCGGGGAUGACUUGUGGGUAGCGGUGAAAUUCCAAUCGAGCCCGGAGAUAGCUGGUUCUCCCCGAAAUAGCUUUAGGGCUAGCCUCAAGGUGAGAGAUACGGAGGUAGAGCACUGAAUGUCCUAGGGGGUAUUGCACCUACCGAAGACUAUCAAACUCCGAAUGCCGUCAUCUUAUACUUGGGAGUCAGACUGUGGGUGAUAAGAUUCAUAGUCGAAAGGGCAACAGCCCAGAUCGUCAGCUAAGGUCCCUAAAUGUAAGUUAAGUGGUAAAGGAUGUGGGAUUGCACAGACAACCAGGAUGUUGGCUUAGAAGCAGCCACUCAUUCAAAGAGUGCGUAAUAGCUCACUGGUCGAGUGAUCCUGCGCCGAAGAUUUCCGGGGCUAAAACUUACUACCGAAGCUACGGCAUCAGUAAUGAUGGGUAGGGGAGCUUCCCAUACGGGUUGAAGCAUGACCGUAAGGACAUGUGGACAGUAUGGGAGUGAGAAUGUUGGCAUGAGUAGCGAGAUGUGGGUGAGAAUCCCACAGGCCGUAAACCCAAGGUUUCCAGGGGAAGGUUCGUCCGCCCUGGGUUAGUCGGGACCUAAGCUGAGGCCGAAAGGCGUAGGUGAUGGACAACAGGUUGAUAUUCCUGUACUACCGAUAACCGUUUGAGAGAAGGGAUGACACAGUAGGAUAAGCUAAGCACACUGUUGGUUAUGUGUGCCCAAGCAUUGAGGCAGUCAAAGUAGGCAAAUCCGCUUUGAUAAUGCUGGGAUGUGAUGGGGAGCGAAAUUUAGUAGCGAAGUAGCUGAUUUCACACUGUCAAGAAAAGUCUCUAUCGAGGUUAAAGGUACCCGUACCGCAAACCGACACAGGUGGGUGAGGAGAGUAUCCUAAGGCCAGCGAGAGAACUGUUGUUAAGGAACUCGGCAAAAUGACCCCGUAACUUAGGGAUAAGGGGUGCCACCAUCAGGUGGCCGCAGAGAAUAGGCCCAAGCGACUGUUUACCAAAAACAUAGGUUUCUGCUAAGUCGCAAGACGAUGUAUAGGAGCUGACGCCUGCCCGGUGCUGGAAGGUUAAGGGGAUCUGUUAGAGCAAUCGAAGCAGUGAACUUAAGCCCCAGUAAACGGCGGCCGUAACUAUAACGGUCCUAAGGUAGCGAAAUUCCUUGUCGGGUAAGUUCCGACCCGCACGAAAGGCGUAACGAUUUGGGCACUGUCUCAACAACAGACUCGGUGAAAUUGUAAUUCCGGUGAAGAUGCCGGAUACCUGCGACAGGACGGAAAGACCCCAUGGAGCUUUACUGUAGCUUGACAUUGGGUCUUGGUACUACAUGUACAGGAUAGGUGGGAGGCUUUGAAACCAGGACGCCAGUUUUGGCGGAGCCAUCCUUGGGAUACCACCCUUGUAGUACUGGGACUCUAACCAUAGGCCAUGAAU